AAAACUUAAAAUACGGCCCUGAUCUGUUCUUAUCAGUUUAGUAACUUAUACCUGUACCAAUGGCUCACACGAUAUUAACUCAAUAUUUUUAGGGUAAAGAUUCAUUGAUGUAGCUUGCUGCUUGGGUCUUCGAGUGUCGCCUUAGCUUUGCACUAUUGCCUUGGCCUGGCACACCUCAC
Molecule: small nuclear RNA, 179 nt
Filed under: Ipomoea nil (Japanese morning glory)
Lineage: Eukaryota; Viridiplantae; Streptophyta; Magnoliopsida; Solanales; Convolvulaceae
Description: U2 spliceosomal RNA
Rfam family: U2 spliceosomal RNA
About the family: U2 is a small nuclear RNA (snRNA) component of the spliceosome (involved in pre-mRNA splicing). Complementary binding between U2 snRNA (in an area lying towards the 5' end but 3' to hairpin I) and the branchpoint sequence (BPS) of the intron results the bulging out of an unpaired adenosine, on the BPS, which initiates a nucleophilic attack at the intronic 5' splice site, thus starting the first of two transesterification reactions that mediate splicing.
Source: Rfam by way of RNAcentral